UACGAAGGGAGCUAGCGUUGUUCGGAAUCACUGGGCGUAAAGCGCACGUAGGCGGAUGUGUCAGUCAGGGGUGAAAUCCCGGAGCUCAACUUCGGAACUGCCUUUGAUACAGCACGUCUUGAGUCCGAUAGAGGUGGGUGGAAUUCCUAGUGUAGAGGUGAAAUUCGUAGAUAUUGGGAAGAACACCGAUGGCGAAGGCAGCCAUCUGGACCGACACUGACGCUGAGGCGCGAAAGCGUGGGGAGCAAACAGG
RNAcentral lists this ribosomal RNA (253 nucleotides) under uncultured bacterium. Its description in RNAcentral is "partial 16S ribosomal RNA". It matches the Rfam family "Bacterial small subunit ribosomal RNA", at positions 524 to 776 of the family's 1533-position model. The record is from RNAcentral.